Anguilla anguilla (European eel) is the source of this 1259-nucleotide RNA transcript. It is a transcript of the gene named unc-119 homolog a (C. elegans), with no coding region annotated. The transcript has 6 exons. NCBI's taxonomy places the organism in Eukaryota, Metazoa, Chordata, Actinopteri, Anguilliformes, Anguillidae. The record is from RefSeq and is a predicted model, not a curated record.
AGAUCGGUGUUAGUCAUUUCAUAAUUUUUGUCAGAGAUAGUUCUAGAUAGGUUCCCUAUAUGACCACCCACGGUAAACUCGCAAUUUCUUUAAGUGAUGCGCGCUCACGAUGCGUAGCUGCGUUUGUGUGCAUGAGUGUGAAAUUGCGACCGCAACCUGCUUCCUCCCUAGAGAAAGUUAGCUUGACUGAGUGCACGCAGCAGGGCAUUCUGAUAUCCUGAUGCUUCGCACAGACGUUGGACGAAGCGAAACGGUUUAAAGAAAAGGGGAUUUGAAUUAGCCAUCGGAGGACGGAUCCGCUGGCCGUUGAGUGGGUGAGGGAGGGAGAUUGUUUUCUAUCUUAACAACACUGGAGGGGAGGGGGAGGGACGGAGAAUGAGUUCAGCGUGUAGAGAGGCUGCUGUGUGCGAUAGCCAGGACCCAUCUUGCGCCGGCGCUAAGUCGUGUGCUACUAAUGAUAUUAGCGUCAGGAGCAUCGGAAACUCCUACACCUGCAGCGACAGCCAGUCGAACCAGAACCCCAAACCAACAACAGCAAUGAAAGUCAAAACAGGUAGCAACUCCACGGACGUGGGGGUCAUCGUUACCACUGAGGACGAACUGCUCAGGAACCCCGUAAUUACUCCAGAAGACGUGCUUGGAUUGCAGAACAUCACCGAAAAUUACCUGUGCACUCCGGGGGAGAACAUCCACAGCAUCGACUUCACCCGCUUCAGGAUUCGGGACAUGGAGACGGGCGCCAUACUGUUCGAGAUCGCCAAACCCCCCGUCAACGAGAGUGCGGGAGAUAAGCGGGACUUCGACCCCAACGCAGGCCGCUUCGUCCGCUAUCAGUUCAGCCCCGCCUUCCUUCAGCUGCGACGUGUCGGAGCUACUGUGGAGUUCACGGUCGGCGACUUGCCCAUCAAUAACUUCCGUAUGAUCGAGCGGCACUACUUCCGCGAGCAGCUGCUGAAGAGCUUCGACUUCGAGUUCGGCUUCUGCAUCCCCAGCAGCAAGAACACCUGCGAGCACAUCUACGAGUUCCCCCCGCUCGCCGAGGAGACCAUGCGUGAGAUGAUCCUGCACCCGUACGAGACGCGGUCGGACAGCUUCUACUUUGUGGACAACAAGCUGGUGAUGCACAACAAGGCCGACUACUCCUACAGCGGGGGGGUGUAGAGCCUGGGCCCACAGCCACGGACAGACGGACGGACGAGCGGACCUACGGCGGGAUACAGGAGCACACACACACAGAAAUGCACAUAUAUAUACACACA